GCCGCGGUAGUAUAGCCCGGUCAAGUAUGCGGGCCUCUCGAGCCCGUGACGCCGUUGGCGCGGGAGACCCGGGUUCAAAUCCCGGCCGCGGCACCA
Molecule: transfer RNA, 96 nt
Filed under: Ignisphaera aggregans
Lineage: Archaea; Thermoproteati; Thermoproteota; Thermoprotei; Desulfurococcales; Desulfurococcaceae
Description: tRNA-Glu
Rfam family: tRNA
About the family: Transfer RNA (tRNA) molecules are approximately 80 nucleotides in length. Their secondary structure includes four short double-helical elements and three loops (D, anti-codon, and T loops).
Source: RNAcentral